GAGAAUAAUACCCGAUAGAUCAUAAUGCCUGGAACGGUUUAUGGUCCAAACGAUUUAUCGCCAUAGGAUGGGACUGCGGCCUAUCAGCUUGUUGGUGAGGUAAUGGCCCACCAAGGCUAUAACAGGUACGGGCUCUGAGAGGAGAAGCCCGGAGAUGGGUACUGAGACACGGACCCAGGCCCUAUGGGGCGCAGCAGGCGAGAAACCUUAGCAAUGUGCGAAAGCACGACUAGGUUAAUCCGAGUGAUUUCUGCUGAAGAAAUCUUUUAUCAGUUCUAAAAAUACUGGAGAAUAAGGGGUGGGCAAGUCUGGUGUCAGCCGCCGCGGUAAUACCAGCACCUCGAGUGGUUAGGAGGUUUAUUGGGCCUAAAGCAUCCGUAGCCGGCUAUGCAAGUCUCCGGUCAAAUCCAACUGCUUAACAGAUGGGCCGCCGGAGAUACUACACAGCUAGGGAGCGGGAGAGGUAGACGGUACUCUGUGGGUAGGGGUAAAAUCCACUGAUCCAUAGAAGACCACCAGUGGCGAAGGCGGUCUACCAGAACGCGUUCGACGGUGAGGGAUGAAAGCUGGGGGAGCAAACCGGAUUAGAUACCCGGGUAGUCCCAGCUGUAAACGAUGCAAA
This 622-nucleotide ribosomal RNA is filed under the name uncultured archaeon. RNAcentral describes it as "bacterial SSU rRNA". It matches the Rfam family "Archaeal small subunit ribosomal RNA", at positions 142 to 766 of the family's 1478-position model. The record is from RNAcentral.